GACGAACGCUGGCGGCGUGCUUAACACAUGCAAGUCGAACGGAAAGGCCCUGCUUUUGUGGGGUGCUCGAGUGGCGAACGGGUGAGUAACACGUGAGUAACCUGCCCUUGACUUUGGGAUAACUUCAGGAAACUGGGGCUAAUACCGGAUAGGAGCUCCUGCUGCAUGGUGGGGGUUGGAAAGUUUCGGCGGUUGGGGAUGGACUCGCGGCUUAUCAGCUUGUUGGUGGGGUAGUGGCUUACCAAGGCUUUGACGGGUAGCCGGCCUGAGAGGGUGACCAGCCACAUUGGGACUGAGAUACGGCCCAGACUCCUGCGGGAGGCAGAAGUGGGGAAUAUUGCACAAUGGGCGGAAGCCUGAUGCAGCAACGCCGCGUGCGGGAUGACGGCCUUCGGGUUGUAAACCGCGUUCGCCUGUGACGAAGCGUGAGUGACGGUAAUGGGUAAAGAAGCACCGGCUAACUACGUG
This 468-nucleotide ribosomal RNA is filed under the name uncultured bacterium. RNAcentral describes it as "partial 16S ribosomal RNA". It matches the Rfam family "Bacterial small subunit ribosomal RNA", at positions 28 to 507 of the family's 1533-position model. The record is from RNAcentral.